ACGCUCGACACCUACGGCAGGCAGCAGUGAGGAAUAUUGGUCAAUGGGCGCUAGCCUGAACCAGCCAAGUAGCGUGAAGGAUGAAGGCUCUAUGGGUCGUAAACUUCUUUUAUAUAAGAAUAAAGUGCAGUAUGUAUACUGUUUUGUAUGUAUUAUAUGAAUAAGGAUCGGCUAACUCCGUACCAGCAGCCGCGGUAAUCUGAGCGGGCUGGCAAGGC
Molecule: ribosomal RNA, 218 nt
Filed under: uncultured bacterium
Lineage: Bacteria
Description: partial 16S ribosomal RNA
Rfam family: Bacterial small subunit ribosomal RNA
Source: RNAcentral